Triticum aestivum (bread wheat) is the source of this 2569-nucleotide long non-coding RNA. RefSeq lists it as uncharacterized. The record is from RefSeq and is a predicted model, not a curated record. Lineage: Eukaryota; Viridiplantae; Streptophyta; Magnoliopsida; Poales; Poaceae. The transcript has 5 exons.
AACCCCGAUCAACUCCGCUCCUCUCGAUCUCCCACAGGAGACGACGCCGCCGCUGCCACCCCAGAGAAGAUGCUGUCGCGGAUGUCCGGGAUUGACGUCUCUCGCUCUCGCGAUCUCGCUGCAGCCGACGAACGGGAUCGCAACCGCCGCCAUCGCGGAUCCCUUCGGACGGAGUGAGUCCCCUGAUCAUUUGCUACCUCGAUGGAAACCACGCCCUAGCCGCCAUCACGGAUCCCUUUGCCGGUGACGAGGUGCUAGAGGAGUCGCCGCCGCCUUCAUUGUGGACCACCGGGUCGCCUUCAGGACACCGCUGCCGAGGUCCACCAUCGCCGCCGUCGAGGUCCGAGAGGGGCAUGACCCUAGGGAGAUCUUCGCCGGGGUUGCCGCCACCGCCGCCGACGUCGCCUGCCCAAGGUGAGAUCCCAGCGCCUGUCUCCUCCUCUCCUUGCAGCGUUAUGCUCUGUCACGAGGCUGGCGGGUGCGUCGAUGGAUGGAGAGGAAAGGUACGGUGCCGUUGAUCCGUCCUGCCUGCGGAUUCAUUGGACAUGUCUUGGUGGUGUGAGCACUCAUCUGGUUGCUCUGUCCUUCAAGUUUCAAGGCGGAUUCAGGGUCAGUGGGUUGGGACGAAUCGACCGCUGUUGUCAUGUGAGAUCAUGGUAAUGUAGAAAUGCAAGGUAAAUGUAAUUGUUGUAUAAUAACGCCCUUGUGUUCUUAUGGAUCACCUUAGGCAGAGUCUCCAUGUAAGCUUCUGGAACAUCCAUCUCCAUGAGAACAUCAGCAUUGAUGGCAUUGUUGCCUUCAGGACUUGGUUGCCAAGCUCCUUCUGGUGUAGAAGCCAUCUCCUCGUCGAGUCUGACAGACCCUCGGGAGGGACCUUCACUGGGGAAGUUGAGCGAGCACGGCAAAGCCAAAGAGAGGCAGAAAGCAAGAUAUCUUCCUUGGAGGAUGUAGGCUGAGUUUCAGAAGAUGAGAGUUGAAAUGACUGGAAUGAGAACAAAAAAAAAAUGGUAGCUUGGUCUUGACGACUAUAGUUUCAAUUCCUUAUUUGAGUCUAGCUCAGGUGUUUCAUAGACUUUUAAAAAUAUCUAUUCUUGAACCUUACUGAAGUGGGCCUCCUUCUGAGGAAAAAAAGUCUAUGAAUGGAUCAUUUGAAAAACAAGAUGCUACAGUUCCUUAAAAGUGAAAUUGCUUGCCAAAUAUAGUAACAGGUAACUCCAAUAUUUGUUGGAAUGAGAUAGCGUAUGCCAGGUGAAUAUUUCUAGAUUUACCUGUUAGGAUUAGUCUGUUAUGUUUCCCUCUAAUUUUUUAUUGCUUAGCUAGGGUAGAUAUUUUUAGUCUGUCAUAUUUCCCUUGAUUUUUUUAUUGCUUAGCUAGGGUAGAUAUUUGUUUCCAGGUGUUACAACAUGGCUUAGCACCAACUACAUCAACGUUGCUCUGCUCCAAUUCUUACCGUCCCACAUCUCAAAGAAUUUGCCUGGUAGUCCCUAUCAUGAAAAAAAGUAGAACAAUUUCUAGCUUUCAUAUGUAUUUGUUUUUGCCGUAAUGUUUAAGAACGAAGCAUUGAUCAAGGUCCCACAAAGGUUAUGUAGUGAUAUUCAUGAUGUUCUAUACGCUAAUUGGAUGCAAGUGACAUGUGUUCUUCUCCUUUUCAAUUUCUCUUAUCUCAGGUUUGAUCUUCUUCUAAUUGAAAGGAUGGAAUUCACGCACUUUGAUGGAACGAUUUGUGAUGUGUGUAUAUUUGUUCAGAAAUACACAUUUAAAUUUGAUCAUUAGUUGUCACUUGGGAUGGGUGUGAUCUACAAAUUUGACCUGGGAAUGAAUGGCUAUGUAUUGGUUAUGCCGAUAGGAUGAUAAAGGUGCCUGCAAUUUGUAUUGUUUUAUGCAUCUAUUUGUAUGAUGCAAUAUGUUCCAGUUUUGGGAAUCUUGUUGGACUUAGCUGGACAGCUAUUGUGAUGUUGAUGCACAAUUACCAUAAUCUACUAUUAUCCGAAUUGCUUUAGGCAAGGAAGAAGGUGGAUGGGGCGCCGAGGAACAUGAUAAGGAAGAGGUUGGAUGAGAGAGGAGGAGAAGAGUGGGGUGAAGGAGGAGAUGGAGGGAAAGAGGGACAAGGACACGGUGACGGAGUUUCUUGAGGCGGAGGGUGGGAGCUUCUUGGAGAUGUUGGACUUCUGCCUGUCCUAGCUUGUUGCUGCCUUGCUGGGUAGGGGCCAAUCUGUCCUCAUGAGGUCGUUGUCAAAUUCCUCACCGAGACUUCGGUGAUGCUGGGACAACUCAAGUAUGAAAUGUUAUGGUAGUUUGUUUGGGAAAUUGUAAAUUCUUGUGCAUGUGGGGUAGAGUAAAUUGGCAAAUAAGGUGGGGCAGUGGGAGGAUUUGUCAACCAAUUUCAUAGUCUUAUUAUAAUUGGGGGUUAGGUUAGCAUAUUGUACAACAACUCACGUCUAAAAGAAAAUUUUAAGGUGCUGGCUUGUUAUCCCAUUUUUCAUUAGCACAUUUAACCAAUUGCUAGCGCAAGUUUAUUUUCAUCUAUAUAAGUUUGCUCUUUCAUUGUUCCCGGUUCUCCUUUUGCUAG